Molecule: non-coding RNA, 177 nt
Organism: Lysinibacillus sphaericus OT4b.31
Lineage: Bacteria; Bacillati; Bacillota; Bacilli; Caryophanales; Bacillaceae
Source: Rfam
UAUUGAGGUAGAGGUCGCGGUAUUUAUAAGUACGCUAAUGGAAAUGACAAGCAUUAAAGAUGUUAGCUGAAAGGAAAUACCGCCGAAGUGUGAGGGGACUUGAAAACCUCAUGCUGGGGCUGUUUCCGAAAGGAACAGAACUGUCACGUUGGAAUGACGUGUUGCGCUAUCAUUUGA